This 905-nucleotide ribosomal RNA is filed under the name uncultured bacterium. Its description in RNAcentral is "bacterial SSU rRNA". It matches the Rfam family "Bacterial small subunit ribosomal RNA", at positions 10 to 887 of the family's 1533-position model. The record is from RNAcentral.
AGUUUGAUCAUGGCUCAGAACGAACGCUGGCGGCGUGCUUAACACAUGCAAGUCGUACGAGAAACCGGAACCUCGGUUCUGGGAGUAAAGUGGCGCACGGGUGAGUAACGCGUAGGUAAUCUACCCUUGGGUUUGGAAUAACCCGCCGAAAGGCGGACUAAUACCGGAUAAAAUCUUUCAGAGGGAUCUGUAAGAUCAAAGGUGGCCUCUCCAUGGAUGCUACUGCCUGAGGAUGAGCCUGCGUCCCAUUAGCUUGUUGGUAGGGUAACGGCCUACCAAGGCUACGAUGGGUAGCUGGUCUGAGAGGAUGAUCAGCCACACUGGAACUGGAACACGGUCCAGACUCCUACGGGAGGCAGCAGUGAGGAAUAUUGCGCAAUGGGGGAAACCCUGACGCAGCGACGCCGCGUGGGCGAAGAAGGCCUUCGGGUCGUAAAGCCCUGUCUAGAGGGAAGAAAUUCUCAAUGGAACAAUACCCAUUGAGAUUGACGGUACCUCUGGAGGAAGCACCGGCUAACUCCGUGCCAGCAGCCGCGGUAAUACGGAGGGUGCGAGCGUUGUUCGGAAUUACUGGGCGUAAAGCGGGUGUAGGCGGUUUGCUAAGUCAGAUGUGAAAGCCCACGGCUCAACCGUGGAAGUGCAUCUGAAACUGGCUUACUUGAGUACCGGAGAGGGAAGUGGAAUUCCUGGUGUAGGGGUGAAAUCCGUAGAUAUCAGGAGGAACACCGGUGGCGAAGGCGACUUCCUGGACGGAUACUGACGCUGAGAUCCGAAAGCGUGGGGAGCAAACAGGAUUAGAUACCCUGGUAGUCCACGCCCUAAACGAUGGGCACCAGGUGCAGGGGGUGUUGACCCCUCCUGUGCCGCAGCUAACGCAUUAAGUGCCCCGCCUGUGAGUGAAACGC